GUCCCUAUCUGCCGUGGGCGCUGGAGAAUUGAGGGGGGCUGCUCCUAGUACGAGAGGACCGGAGUGGACGCAUCACUGGUGUUCGGGUUGUCAUGCCAAUGGCACUGCCCGGUAGCUAAAUGCGGAAGAGAUAAGUGCUGAAAGCAUCUAAGCACGAAACUUGCCCCGAGAUGAGUUCUCCCUGAGACUUUAAGUCUCCUGAAGGAACGUUGAAGACGACGACGUUGAUAGGUCGGGUGUGUAAGCGCAGCGAUGCGUUGAGCUAACCGAUACUAAUGAACCGUGAGGCUUAAUCUUACAACGCCGAAG
This 309-nucleotide ribosomal RNA is filed under the name Enterobacter cloacae subsp. cloacae. RNAcentral describes it as "partial 23S ribosomal RNA". It matches the Rfam family "Bacterial large subunit ribosomal RNA", at positions 2634 to 2925 of the family's 2925-position model. The record is from RNAcentral. Lineage: Bacteria; Pseudomonadati; Pseudomonadota; Gammaproteobacteria; Enterobacterales; Enterobacteriaceae.